CAUAAAACUGUGAAGGAAAGCAGUAGAUAGUCGUGUUUUUAAAGAGAGCUUUUGAUAGGUGUAAAAAGGCAAAACAAGCUGUUGAAUCCGUUCCUGAGUUUGUAAGAGUAGCAACUUACACGUUGUGGGCGUUAACCAUUUGAGAGAUUGCAUUCAAUUGUAAUAAUUAGGGUGGUAUCGCGGAAGUUAUCAGUACUCUCGUCCCUUUA
RNAcentral lists this non-coding RNA (209 nucleotides) under Clostridiales bacterium. Its description in RNAcentral is "T-box sequence". It matches the Rfam family "T-box leader". From Rfam's summary of the family: Uncharged tRNA acts as the effector for transcription antitermination of genes in the T-box leader family. T-boxes are found upstream of many aminoacyl-tRNA synthetase genes and some amino acid biosynthetic genes usually in Gram-positive bacteria. Lineage: Bacteria; Bacillati; Bacillota; Clostridia; Eubacteriales. The record is from RNAcentral.